This 754-nucleotide ribosomal RNA is filed under the name uncultured bacterium. Its description in RNAcentral is "bacterial SSU rRNA". It matches the Rfam family "Bacterial small subunit ribosomal RNA", at positions 55 to 795 of the family's 1533-position model. The record is from RNAcentral.
AUGCAGUUCGCGGGAGAAGUUGUCCUUCGGGGCAGCGGAGACCGGCGGAUGGGUGAGUAAGGCGUAGGUAAUCUGCCGCAGGGCCGGGGAUAACAUCGCGAAAGCGGUGCUAAUACCCGAUGAUGCAGCGGCCCCGCAUGGGGACAGUUGUUAAAUCCCGACAGUAGUCGGGAGCCUUGUGAUGAACCUGCGUGCCAUUAGCUAGUUGGUGGGGUAAGGGCCUACCAAGGCGAUGAUGGCUAGGGGGUCUGAGAGGAUGAUCCCCCACACUGGGACUGAGACACGGCCCAGACUCCUACGGGAGGCAGCAGUGAGGAAUCUUGCGCAAUGGGGGCAACCCUGACGCAGCCACGCCGCGUGCUGGAAGACGGCCCUAUGGGUUGUAAACAGCUUUUACUGGGGAAGAACCUGGAGGUUUCGAUCUCCACUGACGGUACCCAGUGAAUAAGCACCGGCUAACUCCGUGCCAGCAGCCGCGGUAAUACGGAGGGUGCAAGCGUUGUCCGGAAUCAUUGGGUGUAAAGGGUGCGCAGGCGGAAGUCUAAGUCGGAGGUGAAAUCUUGCCGCUUAACGGUAAAAGGGCCUUCGAAACUGGAUUUCUUGAGUUCGGAAGAGGCCGGUGGAAUUCGUGGUGUAGCGGUGAAAUGCAUAGAUAUCACGAAGAACACCAGUGGCGAAAGCGGCCGGCUGGUCCGACACUGACGCUGAGGCACGAGAGCGUGGGGAGCGAACAGGAUUAGAUACCCUGGUAGUC